Molecule: ribosomal RNA, 497 nt
Filed under: uncultured bacterium
Lineage: Bacteria
Description: partial 16S ribosomal RNA
Rfam family: Bacterial small subunit ribosomal RNA
Source: RNAcentral
GACGAACGCUGGCGGCGUGCCUAAUACAUGCAAGUUGAGCGCUGAAGGUUGGUACUUGUACCAACUGGAUGAGCAGCGAACGGGUGAGUAACGCGUGGGGAAUCUGCCUUUGAGCGGGGGACAACAUUUGGAAACGAAUGCUAAUACCCCAUAAAAACUUUAAACACAAGUUUUAAGUUUGAAAGAUGCAAUUGCAUCACUCAAAGAUGAUCCCGCGUUGUAUUAGCUAGUUGGUGAGGUAAAGGCUCACCAAGGCGAUGAUACAUAGCCGACCUGAGAGGGUGAUCGGCCACAUUGGGACUGAGACACGGCCCAAACUCCUACGGGAGGCAGCAGUAGGGAAUCUUCGGCAAUGGACGAAAGUCUGACCGAGCAACGCCGCGUGAGUGAAGAAGGUUUUCGGAUCGUAAAACUCUGUUGGUAGAGAAGAACGUUGGUGAGAGUGGAAAGCUCAUCAAGUGACGGUAACUACCCAGAAAGGGACGGCUAACUACGUG